Molecule: transfer RNA, 68 nt
Filed under: Marmota monax (woodchuck)
Lineage: Eukaryota; Metazoa; Chordata; Mammalia; Rodentia; Sciuridae
Description: tRNA.Ala
Rfam family: tRNA (bases 5-65)
About the family: Transfer RNA (tRNA) molecules are approximately 80 nucleotides in length. Their secondary structure includes four short double-helical elements and three loops (D, anti-codon, and T loops).
Source: RNAcentral
GGCCUGUAGCUCAGUGGCAGAGCGCUUGCCUAGCAUGCAUGAGGCACUGGGUUUGAUCCUCAGCACCA